ACGAGCGAGAGAGAGCUUGCUUUCUCGAGCGAGUGGCGAACGGGUGAGUAACGCGUGAGGAACCUGCCUCAAAGAGGGGGACAACAGUUGGAAACGACUGCUAAUACCGCAUAAGCCCACGGGUCGGCAUCGACCAGAGGGAAAAGGAGCAAUCCGCUUUGAGAUGGCCUCGCGUCCGAUUAGCUAGUUGGUGAGGUAACGGCCCACCAAGGCGACGAUCGGUAGCCGGACUGAGAGGUUGAACGGCCACAUUGGGACUGAGACACGGCCCAGACUCCUACGGGAGGCAGCAGUGGGGAAUAUUGCACAAUGGGGGAAACCCUGAUGCAGCGACGCCGCGUGGAGGAAGAAGGUCUUCGGAUUGUAAACUCCUGUUGUUGGGGAAGAUAAUGACGGUACCCAACAAGGAAGUGACGGCUAACUACGUGCCAGCAGCCGCGGUAAAACGUAGGUCACAAGCGUUGUCCGGAAUUACUGGGUGUAAAGGGAGCGCAGGCGGGAAGACAAGUUGGAAGUGAAAUCUAUGGGCUCAACCCAUAAACUGCUUUCAAAACUGUUUUUCUUGAGUAGUGCAGAGGUAGGCGGAAUUCCCGGUGUAGCGGUGGAAUGCGUAGAUAUCGGGAGGAACACCAGUGGCGAAGGCGGCCUACUGGGCACCAACUG
This 663-nucleotide ribosomal RNA is filed under the name uncultured Lachnospiraceae bacterium. RNAcentral describes it as "bacterial SSU rRNA". It matches the Rfam family "Bacterial small subunit ribosomal RNA", at positions 66 to 742 of the family's 1533-position model. Lineage: Bacteria; Bacillati; Bacillota; Clostridia; Lachnospirales; Lachnospiraceae. The record is from RNAcentral.